Molecule: ribosomal RNA, 300 nt
Filed under: uncultured Alphaproteobacteria bacterium
Lineage: Bacteria; Pseudomonadati; Pseudomonadota; Alphaproteobacteria
Description: bacterial SSU rRNA
Rfam family: Bacterial small subunit ribosomal RNA
Source: RNAcentral
ACGCGUGGGAACGAUACCUAACUAAGUACGGAAUAAACGUUUAGGUAAACGAAGCGCUAAUAACCGUAUACGCCCUUUCGGGGGUAAAGGAAUUUAUUCGCUAUUAGAUUGGCCCGCGUUGGAUUAGCUAGUUGGUGAGGUAACGGCUCACCAAGGCGACGAUCUAUAGCUGGUCUGAGAGGAUGAUCAGCCACACUGGGACUGAGACACGGCCCAGACUCCUACGGGAGGCAGCAGUGGGGAAUAUUGGACAAUGGGCGCAAGCCUGAUCCAGCCAUGCCGCGUGAGUGAUGAAGGCCU